AACGAACGCUGGCGGCAUGCCUAACACAUGCAAGUCGAACGAGACCUUCGGGUCUAGUGGCGCACGGGUGCGUAACGCGUGGGAAUCUGCCCUUGGGUUCGGAAUAACAGCGAGAAAUUGCUGCUAAUACCGGAUGAUGACGUAAGUCCAAAGAUUUAUCGCCCAAGGAUGAGCCCGCGUAGGAUUAGCUAGUUGGUGAGGUAAAGGCUCACCAAGGCGACGAUCCUUAGCUGGUCUGAGAGGAUGAUCAGCCACACUGGGACUGAGACACGGCCCAGGCUCCUACGGGAGGCAGCAGUGGGGAAUAUUGGACAAUGGGCGAAAGCCUGAUCCAGCAAUGCCGCGUGAGUGAUGAAGGCCUUAGGGUUGUAAAGCUCUUUUACCCGGGAUGAUAAUGACAGUACCGGGAGAAUAAGCCCCGGCUAACUCCGUGCCAGCAGCCGCGGUAAU
RNAcentral lists this ribosomal RNA (450 nucleotides) under uncultured bacterium. Its description in RNAcentral is "bacterial SSU rRNA". It matches the Rfam family "Bacterial small subunit ribosomal RNA", at positions 29 to 524 of the family's 1533-position model. The record is from RNAcentral.